RNAcentral lists this ribosomal RNA (253 nucleotides) under uncultured bacterium. RNAcentral describes it as "partial 16S ribosomal RNA". It matches the Rfam family "Bacterial small subunit ribosomal RNA", at positions 524 to 776 of the family's 1533-position model. The record is from RNAcentral.
GACAGAGGCCUCAAGCGUUAGGCGGAAUCACUGGGCUUAAAGCGUGUGUAGGCGGAUCGUUAAGUGCCUUGUGAAAUCCCACGGCUUAACUGUGGAACGGCUGGGCAUACUGGCGGUCUUGAGCCAUCUAGGGGCGACUGGAACAAACGGUGGAGCGGUGAAAUGCGUAGAUAUCGUUUGGAACGCCAAUGGUGAAAACAGGUCGCUGGGGAUGAGCUGACGCUGAGGAGCGAAAGCGUGGGGAGCGAACAGG